Molecule: long non-coding RNA, 143 nt
Organism: Sphaerodactylus townsendi
Lineage: Eukaryota; Metazoa; Chordata; Lepidosauria; Squamata; Sphaerodactylidae
Exons: 3
Source: RefSeq, a predicted model, not a curated record
AAGUAAUUGCAGGAGCAAGAUAGUUGCACUAUUUGGUUACUGAAUGUUAAUGGAGGGUAGCUGGGCAGUUAAUUGGUUGAUUGAGGGUGACCUUCAAUGCUGCAUACUAUGGUGUAGCUUUUUCAUUCUACCUUUUGCUUCUU